This 253-nucleotide ribosomal RNA is filed under the name uncultured bacterium. RNAcentral's name for it is "partial 16S ribosomal RNA". It matches the Rfam family "Bacterial small subunit ribosomal RNA", at positions 524 to 776 of the family's 1533-position model. The record is from RNAcentral.
UACGUAGGGGGCAAGCGUUGUCCGGAAUCAUUGGGCGUAAAGGGCGCGUAGGCGGCUUACCAAGUCAGGCGUGAAAUUCCCGGGCUCAACCUGGGGGCUGCGCUUGAUACUGGUGAGCUUGAAUGCGGGAGAGGAUAGUGGAAUUCCCAGUGUAGAGGUGAAAUUCGUAGAUAUUGGGAAGAACACCGGUGGCGAAGGCGGCUAUCUGGCCCGUAAUUGACGCUGAGGCGCGAAAGCGUGGGGAGCAAACAGG